Long non-coding RNA from Gallus gallus (chicken), 1522 nucleotides. The record is from Ensembl. NCBI's taxonomy places the organism in Eukaryota, Metazoa, Chordata, Aves, Galliformes, Phasianidae.
CCUCUCUUUAAGCUCUGUUCAUAUUACAAAAAUAUUACAUGGUUCCUCCAACAGCCAGGGAUGUGUUGGCCAGAUGACUUUCUUUGUAUUUCAUCUGGAAAAGGUCUGAGGGGAUUCCACUAAACAGCCUGGAAAUCCCAAAUCCAGGGAUCAAGGACAGAGGAGUUAAAGUUAUUUCUAUGGCCAGUGUGUACAGUGCCCUUGCUUCCGUAUUCCUGUACUGUAGAGGUGUGGGAGCAGAGGACCUCUCUCUUUCCAUACUGCUAAUUUCAAGGCAAACACCAUGGACUAAGUUCAGCAACAAGAAACAUGGAAGAGCUGGUCCCUAGCUGGGUACAUCUCUUUGAUAUUACAGAGGUACAGGAUGCUCUAACACCAUCUCACUUCAAACUAGAGACCUGCCAUAGUAUCUUAUCUUCUACUGUCACCCUGACUCCAGUGCCAUAAAGAAACCAAUACUGUUUACUGGCAUACUGCACAGGUAGCUCCAUCUUUCAUGAGCUGAAAUCUGCCCUCUUCUCACUGUAUGAGAAGCUACAAGAUGUCCUUUGGACUCUCACCCAAGCAUGACCAGCUGCACAAGCAAGUCUGUGUUGUAAAGGUAACUGACAUCAGGAACAGAACAACCUCUAGAGAAGUAUUUGGCACAGAACACAUAAAACUAUGCUUUGCCUGGCUACUAUCAUCAGCGAGAAUCUCUGUCACCAUAGACAUAAUAAUCGGAAAGCUAUGACUGCGGCAAAAAUUAGUAAUAACAUCCAAUAUGCUAAGUAAGUUCCUUUUAGUGGUGUACCUGAGUUGUGCAAACAGGGAUAAAAUAAAACUCAUUUUCACCUUUAAAACCAUUCGAAUUUGUUUGCAUAGUAUUCCCGAUGUAUAAAGUAUUUUCAGGCAAUGAGCUUUAUGUUCAUAUAUGACAAAUUAAAGAAGAUUGAAUAACUUCAUCUAAACCACAUGGAGUCCCCUAUACUGAAUUUUCUCACUGAAUGCUCAAGAGCAAAAGUCUGAAUGAAUAGCAGAGAUUUACAGUGUGCCUCUGAGGUCAAGAAUCUUGUUCAGAAUGAACAAUAAAGGGAUCAAAUUCCAAUGGAGAGUGGUCACUCCUGAGCCCUUCUGGCCCGUUUUCCCUUACCAUACAAUGUGAAGGAUUAUUCACAAAAAAAAUACCUCAGCCAAUCUCAGUUCUUUGUCUGACUUAUGCAGAAAGAAGUAGCCUGCAAGGACUCCAGUCAUUUGGGCCUGCACUUGCUAAAUCAACACCUCCAGUUUCACUCAGAAACAGGUGGUCAGCAAGAGUCUCUGAAAAGCAAUCUGUAUAUUCUCUCCAUUAUUGCGGCCAAUUUACAAUAAAAUUAAAAAAAAAAAAAAAAAGCAGCUGAACUUUCCGUAAAGGGUGCAUUUUCAUGUUAGAUUAGGGACUCUCUUGCAAAGUGGAGAAUUAGGGUGCCAGAAACGACUAUGCUGCGAAACUACUGCUGAAGAUGAGAAAUGGGGAUACAUGGAAAAUCUGCUUCUAGCUGAC